GAUGAACGCUGGCGGCGUGCCUAAUACAUGCAAGUCGGGCGAAUGAAGAGGAGCUUGCUCCUCUGAUUUAGCGGCGGACGGGUGAGUAACACGUGGGUAAUCUGCCUGUAAGACGGGGAUAACUCCGGGAAACCGGGGCUAAUACCGGAUAACAAAAGAAGAAGCAUUUCUUCUUUUUGAAAGUUGGUUUCGGCUAACACUUACAGAUGAGCCCGCGGCGCAUUAGCUAGUUGGUGAGGUAACGGCUCACCAAGGCGACGAUGCGUAGCCGACCUGGGAGGGGGGUCGGCCACACUGGGACUGAGACACGGCCCAGACUCCUACGGGAGGCAGCAGUAGGGAAUCUUCGGCAAUGGGCGAAAGCCUGACCGAGCAACGCCGCGUGAGCGAUGAAGGCCUUCGGGUCGUAAAGCUCUGUUGUUAGGGAAGAACACGUACGAGAGUAACUGCUCGUACCUUGACGGUACCUAACCAGAAAGCCACGGCUAACUACGUGCCAGCAGCCGCCGCCG
Molecule: ribosomal RNA, 512 nt
Filed under: uncultured bacterium
Lineage: Bacteria
Description: partial 16S ribosomal RNA
Rfam family: Bacterial small subunit ribosomal RNA
Source: RNAcentral